Long non-coding RNA from Mercenaria mercenaria, 1768 nucleotides. RefSeq lists it as uncharacterized. The record is from RefSeq and is a predicted model, not a curated record. The transcript has 3 exons. Lineage: Eukaryota; Metazoa; Mollusca; Bivalvia; Venerida; Veneridae.
UGGUUAUUAAUAUCGGCGUUUACAAAAACCACGGAUGUGGUUAUAUACGAAAAAAAGACCAAAUAUACCCCACUGGAGUUAAAGAGAAACUAUUUAAGGUUUUGAAAAUUAUAUCGAAUGGGAAUGCCGAAAAGUUCAUUAGUAAAUAGGUCCUUUUUACAAAGUGCAUGGGGGAUGUAGAAUGUUAAACACAACAGGAAACGGAUAUAGAGUACAGAGAAUUCCUGCAACAUUGCGCUAUAACACUAUUUUUAGUGUCAACCGGAAUGAAGAUGAAGUGCAUAUCAUCAAUAUCAACGGCCACCGCCACGUGUGUUUGCUUAUUUGGGUUGUGUAUUAGCCAUCCGACCUCCGCCGACAAAAUUAACCACUGUUUCUGCAGAGUGAAUUACAACUACACUCGUUGUGAGCUAAAAAUAAGGGCUUUUAGUCACCAUGAGACAGCUGUGCUGUUGUAGGGCAACUUUUGAAGUUGAGAAAUACAGUCACCAUGGAUACUACAACCGUGUAGAGGAAUGUCACCUGAUGGCUUGUUAAGCUUUUUUGAUGCAGCAGCUCUCUUAUUAAUUGACCAUUAAACAGCAUCAAACAUACUUUUGAGAUAACGUGAAUUUAAGGUAUUGGGCCCCUAAUAGUGAUGUUUUAAAAAUGGCAUUUGCUUGGUAUAUUCUUAAAGUUGACCAUGUUUCACACUGUGUUGCAUAUUUUAAACAACUUUCACCGUGCCGUGUUUUGUAAAAAUUGUAUAAUAUAUGGUAUUUCCUCAAGCUCAAGAAGAGACAAAAUUCAAUGUGAUUGCCACUAUCUAAAACGCUUGCAGAGAAUUCAUUACAACAUUAAUUUUGAUAAAAGAAACAUCAAACUAUUGUUAAACAAUUAUAAAACACAAAAUAAAACUUUAUAAAUUAUUUUUGUCUACGGUGCCUGAAGUAAACAGAUUUAAUGAGACAGAAUUCUAACUCCAACAUUGAAAAAUCAAGGUCGAAUCCGGUGGGUCUGUUUUGAAUUUUGCUCACUUCAUUCAAAAAUAACCUUGGGGCAAUAGUAAAACCUACCUGCAUUUCUUCCACAACAUGUAAUCUAACGAAUGAAGGCAAAAUAGAGAACUUUUACCGCAUGUAACUCAGUAUUUUUUAAAGAUGUCUAACUCUACCCCUCCUGAUUCAGAGGUAAAUUCACAUUAAACAGCAAAAAAUCGCUUAUAAAAUGAAAAUUUUCCACUUUUGUACAAUUCAUCCAUAAUUAGUCUUGAAAGGAGCAAAAACUUACUAGGAAAAAGGAAAACAUGGGAAAAAAAGUUUGGUCCCAGUGGGGUUUGAACCUACGCCCUCCUGAAAAUUGCAGUCAGAGUAGGUUUAUGGUAGGAAUUGAAUACUCUUCAAAAAGGAGAUACUCUAUUACGGGUCCAAUACCUUAAGAUAAAGAUCGACGAAAAUGCUAAAAUAUAAUUUCUAGGACUUAGUUUUUAUAAUAUGUUGGAAAAGUGAGUUUCUAUUUUAAUAUUUUCAAAUAUUACCAAACAGAUGACUGAGCAUAAUCUUUUAGUUUGCUCAAAUAUAUACACUUGAACAUUACGUUUUUUCUACUCAUUCUACGAAUUUAUCGUGUUUUUUUCUGCCUCUUUCAUGUUUUUUCCCUUAUGACGUAUUUUUAUCAUUUUAUUCAUUUAAAAUUACUCAUUUACGGAAAAUCUUUGUCAUGUCAGAUUUAUUUAAUUUAUAUACAUUUUAUAUUGACAUAUAUUUACCACAAUAAAGCUUAUUUUUAC